UGUACACGCUGUGACUAGCAUAUCAAUAAGCGGAGGAAAAGAAACUAACAAGGAUUCCCCUAGUAACGGCGAGUGAAGCGGGAAGAGCUCAAAUUUGAAAUCUUAAAGGGUUUCCCUUUACGAAUUGUAGUUUAAAGAAGUGUUUUCUGUUGAGGUUUUGGUAAAAGUUCUUUGGAAUAGGACAUCAUAGAGGGUGAGAAUCCCGUAUUUGACCAUUACUUUUCAGCUGUGUGAUACACUUUCAAAGAGUCGGAUUGUUUGGGAAUGCAGUCCAAAAUGGGUGGUAAAUUUCAUCUAAAGCUAAAUAUUGGCGAGAGACCGAUAGCGAACAAGUACCGUGAGGGAAAGAUGAAAAGAACUUUGAAAAGAGAGUUAAACAGUACGUGAAAUUGUCAAAAGGGAAGCGUUUGACACCAGUGUUGUUUUUCUGAAAAUCAAUUAAAGAACUGUUUAUGCUAAGUUGUUUAGACUUUAUCAGCUAACUGUUUAGUUUCGAGCUUUUCUUUAAUGCACUUUUCAGUUAACAAGUCAACAUCAAUUUCUUUUGCUGUAAAAAAGCUUGAGGAAGGUGGCUUGAGAUUCGUCUUAAGUGUUUAUAGCCUCUUGCCUAUGCAGUCGGAGAGAUUGAGGUCUGCAGCGUAGAUCCUUCGGGGCUAAAUGCAUUUGUGCUAAGUUAUAACAUUUUAUAGACAACUUGUUGACUAUGAUUUGUCUUGUAGCUUACUCGCUUAUGUUAUUUUACCUACGCUUAGGAUGUUGACAGCAGUAUAGACUGU
Molecule: ribosomal RNA, 776 nt
Filed under: uncultured Neocallimastigales
Lineage: Eukaryota; Fungi; Neocallimastigomycota; Neocallimastigomycetes; Neocallimastigales
Description: partial large subunit ribosomal RNA
Rfam family: Eukaryotic large subunit ribosomal RNA
Source: RNAcentral